GAAAGAGACGAUCUUAAAAGUAGAACUUUUAAGAUUGGUUAUUUAACCGGUCUUAAAAGUCCAACUUUUAAGAUUGGUUACGAA
Molecule: microRNA precursor, 84 nt
Filed under: Cajanus cajan (pigeon pea)
Lineage: Eukaryota; Viridiplantae; Streptophyta; Magnoliopsida; Fabales; Fabaceae
Description: miRNA gene-KK1_047472
Source: RNAcentral